Molecule: ribosomal RNA, 466 nt
Filed under: uncultured bacterium
Lineage: Bacteria
Description: partial 16S ribosomal RNA
Rfam family: Bacterial small subunit ribosomal RNA
Source: RNAcentral
GGGGGGGGGGGGGGGGGUGCUUGGGGGGGGGGGGGCGGACGGUGGGGCGCGGCUUGCUGGGUGGGUUGGUGGCGGACGGGGGGGUAACACGUGAGUAACCUGCCCUUAACUCUUGGAUAAGCCUGGGAACCUCGGUCUCAUCCCGGCUAGGAGCGUCCACCGCAUGGUGGGUGUUUGCAAGAUUUAUCGGUUUUGGAUGGACUCGCGGCCUCUCAGCUUGUUGGUGAGGUAAUGUCUCACCAAGGCGACGACGGGUAGCCGGCCUGAGAGGGUGACCGGCCACACUGGGACUGAGACACGGCCCAGACUCCUACGGGAGGCAGCAGUGGGGAAUAUUGCACAAUGGGCGAAAGCCUGAUGCAGCGACGCCGCGUGAGGGAUGACGGCCUUCGGGUUGUAAACCUCUUUCAGUAGGGAAGAAGCGAAAGUGACGGUACCUGCAGAAGAAGCACCGGCUAACUACGUG